Molecule: transfer RNA, 72 nt
Filed under: Ovis aries (sheep)
Lineage: Eukaryota; Metazoa; Chordata; Mammalia; Artiodactyla; Bovidae
Rfam family: tRNA
About the family: Transfer RNA (tRNA) molecules are approximately 80 nucleotides in length. Their secondary structure includes four short double-helical elements and three loops (D, anti-codon, and T loops).
Source: Rfam by way of RNAcentral
UCCUUGAUGGUCCAGUGGUUAAGACUUUGCCUUCCAUUGCAGAGGAUGCAGGUUCAAUCCCUCCUCAAGGAG